Non-coding RNA from Paramisgurnus dabryanus, 1346 nucleotides. Lineage: Eukaryota; Metazoa; Chordata; Actinopteri; Cypriniformes; Cobitidae. The record is from RefSeq and is a predicted model, not a curated record.
AGUACUUUCAUAAAAUACGUUAGAAUAAUAAAAUGUAGGCUAUACACUGCAUGAAAAGAGCUGUAUCCAGACAAAUACGGAUGGGAAAUCCCUGCUAAACUUUAGGUUUGCCAGAUAAAUGAGGCAGAGUGCUUGGAAACGUAAUUCUCAGAAGUAAACUCGUGAAACAUCCAGAAACCUUGUGUAUAUGGAUGUAUACUGGUGGAAGUUUCUAGGAAUCCUCACAGCUGGUUGUAAGGAGUGCUGGUUGUGAGGUGUGAAGGGUUAAUGACAGAGUUGCUGUCUCUGUUUUCAAAGCUGGGUGGGGGGUUCAAGGCAGCACAUAACAUAAAAACAUUAUAUAUCUACAAGUGUGUUUACUAAAUACAUGUAUUAUUAUGCUAAUGUAAUUUAAUUGAUAAAGGUUUUUUUUAUUUAAGAAAAUCUGAGCAUCACUCAAAAUAACUGUCAACAUGUUUGUCAACUAAACAUGUUUUGUAAACGUUAUACAUUUUAUAAAAAUAUUUUAUAUUUUUAUUAUUGAUAAAGUAUAAAGAACAAAUCAGUGUGAAAACGCAGAUUAUAAAAAGUACAUAAAGUGCCAGCAGAGGAUCCAAAAUAAUGAAAAAAAAAAAAACAUCCAAUGCAACUUGGAAAUUGUAGUCAAAAUACAUCUACAGCAGCAUGCUAAAGCAGUACCAACGCCAGGGCAAAAGACUCAAAUUCCCAGAAUGCACCUGCACCCACCCAUUCAUUCCCACCAAUCAGGAUCAACGGCAUUUUUCAAACCGCUACUGACUCGUUUUCAUGCUAAACAGUACGGCUGAGGUAAGUUUGACUUUCAUUCCUUUACAUCGCGCAGAUCUGUUCCAUAUUUGUUCCUAUUUUGUUCUUCACUGUGAUUAUUUUUGUCUUUAUGCGAGAAGUGUUUUAAUUUAAAGCACACACAGGAAACAUUAAGAAGGUCAUGUACCAUGUGGUCGACCUUGCUGACGCUGAAGAGGUUUCUGUGUAAAAAUGAUAUGCAGUGAGGGAGUGAUUCCCCAACAUCGAGGUGGCAGAGAUCCGGGACCUUCUACGGAGGAAGUGCAACAAUGCCAGUUACAAGGCCUCCAGUAGUUCAAAUCAGAGCUAGAUGUCCAUAUAGUACAAGUUGUUCGCAAUUGUUCUCUUCCCGGCAUUUCAAAGAAAGUCGACUGUUUAAGGUUCCCCAUUUUGCCAAUAUCUGUUUUGUGUGUUACUUUUGUGUCAUUAAUAAAGAUCCUUUUUUGAAAUGCAGUUUGUAAUCUGUUUGUGUGCAUUUGAACUGAAUUGUUAUAUUAUACACUUGUAGUGUAACAGCAAUAUUCAUGCUUAAGUAUAACAAA